RNAcentral lists this ribosomal RNA (368 nucleotides) under uncultured organism. RNAcentral describes it as "bacterial SSU rRNA". It matches the Rfam family "Bacterial small subunit ribosomal RNA", at positions 526 to 896 of the family's 1533-position model. The record is from RNAcentral.
CGAAGGAUGCGAGCGUUAUCCGGAUUUAUUGGGUUUAAAGGGAGCGUAGGCGGUCUUAUAAGUCAGUGGUGAAAUCCUAUCGCUUAACGAUAGACGUGCCAUUGAUACUGUAGGACUUGAGUACAGAUGCCGUUGGCGGAAUGUGUCAUGUAGCGGUGAAAUGCAUAGAUAUGACACAGAACACCGAUUGCGAAGGCAGCUGACGAAACUGUAACUGACGCUGAGGCUCGAAAGCGUGGGGAUCAAACAGGAUUAGAUACCCUGGUAGUCCACGCCCUAAACUAUGAUUACUCGUUGUCGGCGAUAUACAGUCGGUAACUAAGCGAAAGCGUUAAGUAAUCCACCUGGGGAGUACGCCCGCAAGGGUG